UGGGGAAUAUUGCACAAUGGGGGAAACCCUGAUGCAGCGACGCCGCGUGGAGGAAGAAGGUCUUCGGAUUGUAAACUCCUGUUGUUGAGGAAGAUAAUGACGGUACUCAACAAGGAAGUGACGGCUAACUACGUGCCAGCAGCCGCGGUAAAACGUAGGUCACAAGCGUUGUCCGGAAUUACUGGGUGUAAAGGGAGCGCAGGCGGGAAGACAAGUUGGAAGUGAAAUCUAUGGGCUCAACCCAUAAACUGCUUUCAAAACUGUUUUUCUUGAGUAGUGCAGAGGUAGGCGGAAUUCCCGGUGUAGCGGUGGAAUGCGUAGAUAUCGGGAGGAACACCAGUGGCGAAGGCGGCCUACUGGGCACCAACUGACGCUGAGGCUCGAAAGUGUGGGUAGCAAACAGGAUUAGAUACCCUGGUAGUCCACACCGUAAACGAUGAUUACUAGGUGUUGGAGGAUUGACCCCUUCAGUGCCGCAGUUAACACAAUAAGUAAUCCACCUGGGGAGUACGACCGCAAGGUUGAAACUCAAAGGAAUUGACGGGGGCCCGCACAAGCAGUGGAGUAUGUGGUUUAAUUCGACGCAACGCGAAGAACCUUACCAAGUCUUGACAUCCUGCGACGAUGCUGGAAACAGUAUUUUCCUUCGGGACGCAGAGACAGGUGGUGCAUGGUUGUCGUCAGCUCGUGUCGUGAGAUGUUGGGUUAAGUCCCGCAACGAGCGCAACCCUUAUGGUCAGUUACUACGCAAGAGGACUCUGGCCAGACUGCCGUUGACAAAACGGAGGAAGGUGGGGAUGACGUCAAAUCAUCAUGCCCUUUAUGACCUGGGCUACACACGUACUACAAUGGCGUUAAACAAAGAGAAGCAAGACCGCGAGGUGGAGCAAAACUCAAAAAUAACGUCUCAGUUCGGAUUGUAGUCUGCAACUCGACUACAUGAAGCUGGAAUCGCUAGUAAUCGCAGAUCAGAAUGCUGCGGUGAAUACGUUCCC
This 995-nucleotide ribosomal RNA is filed under the name uncultured bacterium. Its description in RNAcentral is "bacterial SSU rRNA". It matches the Rfam family "Bacterial small subunit ribosomal RNA", at positions 355 to 1375 of the family's 1533-position model. The record is from RNAcentral.